Molecule: long non-coding RNA, 1553 nt
Organism: Mustela lutreola (European mink)
Lineage: Eukaryota; Metazoa; Chordata; Mammalia; Carnivora; Mustelidae
Exons: 3
Source: RefSeq, a predicted model, not a curated record
UAAGUGCUGGACCAUAGAUCCGGUGUCUGAGCUCUGGGAAUCGGAGUCUACACUCCUCUCCUAGCCACAGAACAGUGACUAAAGCAGGCCUGGCCGAGGAGAUGAAAAUCUCAAGUUUGAAGUCAAGAUCACUACCCUUGAAGGAUUUAAGGAGACGACAGACCGUGGAGACAACACUGUGGCCAACACAGGCAAUAAUCCUGAACCACCAGGUUCAACAAUAAGACCAGAAGUGGAAGCAUUCGUUAAAGAAGAACGAGAGAGGGAGAGGCUACAGGUCCGAUCUGGCCCAGGUGUGCAGGACGGAGAUGUUGUCCUCACAGAGGAUGGAUCCCGCCAUCCUCCGCCCUGAGUUUUCGGAUCAGUCCUUCCUUUGACUCUAAGAUCUUGUGGGCAGGUGCCAAGUCCACGACUGAUGGAGGAAGAAAAGGGGAAGGGAGAGGACGGGUGUCCUUUCUGACAUCUAGCAGCCAGUUCCCUUGCUGGCGAAGAGGCUUUUGGAGGCUACUGGAGGUUCCAGAGAUGGGCAUCUCUUGUCCUUCUGCCAAGUCUCCUUCAGUCUAUCCAGAGACCAGAAGGUACCCAGCUGGAAGAAACCGGAGUGGGAGCGAGGAAGGGGAAGUUCUCGGUUGGCUGCAUCUCUGUCGGACUAUGAAUCUCAGGGCGUACGGGGGAGCUCAAGGGAGAGCAGCUGGCCACCCAGGUGUGUGACGAUGUCAGCUGACCCACAGCCCAGAGUACAAACCUCCCUGUAGGGCCGCAUCUCUCCAUCUGGACGGCCUGCCCAUCAAGACCAUGCAUCAUCUUCACUUCCUUCUCUUCCCACAACAAUCAUCUUGUUUAAGACACUGGUUCUCAAGACUGCUCUCACCACAGGCGACGCCACAUCACCUGGAAACUUGCUGGAAAUGCAAAGUCUCAGGCUCUAUCUCGGACCCGCUGAAUAGGAAACUCUGGGGGGCGGGAACAAGCAAUCUAGGUUUCAACAAGCCUUCCAGCUGACUGCCAUACACAAGGCUGAGAAUCACUGCCUAGGAUCUCCGCAGCCCCAAGGUGGCCCCAUCUCAGGGGGUGCUAGGGACGUGCUACUAUAAUCCCUUCCAAGAAUCCUAAAUUUUCCUGACUAUUUCCAUUUGAAAGAUGUAAACACUGAGGUCCUGGUACGUUAGGAAAUUUGAUUCGAACCUGGAUCUUGUUUAUUUUAAGACACAAGGGAUGGACCACUCUGCCUUAGGGUCUCCUCCUUGCAGAGAAGGCUAGGAGGUCCUUGGGAGAGCACUUCUCCAAAGGCUGUUGUGAUUUAUUUACUUAAUAAACAUGCAUCGACCACUUCUCCUGUGCCAGACCGUAUUCCAGAAUAUUCCAUAUAUUAGGGAACUCCAUUCCAGCCUAAACCUUGCAAGUAGGCAUCUCGUCUCAGCACUUACAGAGCCGGAAACACGGACUUAGGGAAACCAUGAGACUUGUUUCAGAGCUCCUAUACCACCUCACGGAGGAUUCACUCCUGGCUCUAGGAAGCAGGGGGUGGCUUUUUAAAGGAGGUAGAAGCUACA